CCUACGGGAGGCAGCAGUGGGGGAUAUUGGACAAUGGGGGAAACCCUGAUCCAGCGACGCCGCGUGAGUGAAGAAGUACUUCGGUAUGUAAAGCUCUAUCAGCAGGGAAGAAAGAAAUGACGGUACCUGAGUAAGAAGCCCCGGCUAACUACGGGCCAACAGCCGCGGGAAUACGGAGGGGGCAAGCGUUAUCCGGAAUUACUGGUUGUAAAGGUAGCGUAGACGGUAAUGCAAGUCUGAAGGGAAAGGCGGGGGCCCAAACCCCGGACUGCUCUGGAUACUGUGUAACUGGAGUGGAGGAGAGGCAGGCGGAAUUCCUGGGGUAGCGGUGAAAGGCGUAGAUAUUACGAGGAACACCGAUGGCGAAGGCGGCAUGCUGGACUGUAACUGACGUUGAGGCACGAAAGCGUGGGGAGCAAACAGGAUUAGAUACCCGGGUAGUC
RNAcentral lists this ribosomal RNA (443 nucleotides) under uncultured bacterium. RNAcentral's name for it is "partial 16S ribosomal RNA". It matches the Rfam family "Bacterial small subunit ribosomal RNA", at positions 338 to 795 of the family's 1533-position model. The record is from RNAcentral.